AGUGAACGCUGGCGGUAGGCCUAACACAUGCAAGUCGAACGGCAGCACCGUAAGAGCUUGCUCUUACGGGUGGCGAGUGGCGGACGGGUGAGGAAUACAUCGGAAUCUACUUUUUCGGGGGAGAUAACGUAGGGAAACUUACGCUAAUACCGCAUACGACCUUCGGUUGAAAGCAGGGGAGAUUCGGACCUUGCGCGGUUGGAUGAGCAGAUGUCGAAUUAGCUAGUUGGCGGGGUAAAGGGCCACCAAGGCGACGAUCCGUAGCUGGUCUGAGAGGAUGAUCAGACACACUAGAACUGAGACAAGGUCAAGACUCCUACGGGAGGCAGCAGUGGGGAAUAUUCGGCAAUGGGCGGAAGCCUGAUCCAAUCAUACCGAGUGUGUAACGACAGCGUUGGGGUUGUAAAGCCCUCAUUUUGGGAAAGAAAAGCAGCAGGUUCAUACGACGCGGUUCUGACGGUACCCAAUGAAUAAGCACCGGCUAACUUCGUG
Molecule: ribosomal RNA, 492 nt
Filed under: uncultured bacterium
Lineage: Bacteria
Description: partial 16S ribosomal RNA
Rfam family: Bacterial small subunit ribosomal RNA
Source: RNAcentral